ACGGCGAGUGAAGCGGCAAAAGCUCAAAUUUGAAAUCUGGUACCUUCGGUGCCCGAGUUGUAAUUUGGAGAGGGCAACUUUGGGGCCGUUCCUUGUCUAUGUUCCUUGGAACAGGACGUCAUAGAGGGUGAGAAUCCCGUGUGGCGAGGAGUGCGGUUCUUUGUAAAGUGCCUUCGAAGAGUCGAGUUGUUUGGGAAUGCAGCUCUAAGUGGGUGGUAAAUUCCAUCUAAAGCUAAAUAUUGGCGAGAGACCGAUAGCGAACAAGUACAGUGAUGGAAAGAUGAAAAGAACUUUGAAAAGAGAGUGAAAAAGUACGUGAAAUUGUUGAAAGGGAAGGGCAUUUGAUCAGACAUGGUGUUUUGUGCCCUCUGCUCCUUGUGGGUAGGGGAAUCUCGCAUUUCACUGGGCCAGCAUCAGUUUUGGUGGCAGGAUAAAUCCAUAGGAAUGUAGCUUGCCUCGGUAAGUGUUAUAGCCUGUGGGAAUACUGCCAGCUGGGACUGAGGACUGCGACGUAAGUCAAGGAUGCUGGCAUAAUGGUUAUAUGCCGCCCG
RNAcentral lists this ribosomal RNA (551 nucleotides) under Saccharomyces cerevisiae (brewer's yeast). RNAcentral's name for it is "partial large subunit ribosomal RNA". It matches the Rfam family "Eukaryotic large subunit ribosomal RNA", at positions 86 to 651 of the family's 3401-position model. Lineage: Eukaryota; Fungi; Ascomycota; Saccharomycetes; Saccharomycetales; Saccharomycetaceae. The record is from RNAcentral.